This 278-nucleotide ribosomal RNA is filed under the name uncultured bacterium. RNAcentral's name for it is "partial 16S ribosomal RNA". It matches the Rfam family "Bacterial small subunit ribosomal RNA", at positions 80 to 354 of the family's 1533-position model. The record is from RNAcentral.
UACUCCCGCCGGCGACCGGCGCACGGGUGAGUAACACGUAUGAAACCUGCCCGUAGCAGGGGGAUAAGCGGAAGAAAUUCCGUCUAAUACCGCGUAACAACCCGAGGAGGCAUCUCCUCGGGUUUAAAGGAAGUGAUUCCGGCUACGGAUGGUCAUGCGUCGCAUUAGCUAGUUGGCGGGGUAACGGCCCACCAAGGCGACGAUGCGUAGGGGUUCUGAGAGGAAGGUCCCCCACACUGGUACUGAGACACGGACCAGACUCCUACGGGAGGCAGCAG